AGAGUUUGAUCAUGGCUCAGGACGAACGCUGGCGGCGUGCUUAACACAUGCAAGUCGAACGAGGACCAGGGUGCUUGCACCCUGUAGCCGAGUGGCGGACGGGUGAGUAACACGUGAUUAACCUGCCUUCGGGAGGGGGACAACCCGGGGAAACCUGGGCUAAUACCGCAUAUCGUCCUGGUGUCGCAUGGCACUUGGAUAAAAGGGGGCCUCUGCUUGCAUGCUCUCGCCCGAAGAGGGGGUCGCGACGUAUCAGCUUGUUGGUGAGGUAACGGCUCACCAAGGCUACGACGCGUAGCGGGUCUGAGAGGACGACCCGCCACAUUGGGACUGAGAUACGGCCCAGACUCCUACGGGAGGCAGCAGUGGGGAAUAUUGCGCAAUGGUCGAAAGACUGACGCAGCGACGCCGCGUGUGGGAGGAAGCCUUUCGGGGUGUAAACCACUGUCAGGAGGGAAGAAUUCCGGUUUCGAAAAUAUCGUUUCCGGUUGACGGUACCUCCAGAGGAAGCGCCGGCUAACUCCGUGCCAGCAGCCGCGGUAAGACGGAGGGCGCAAGCGUUGUUCGGAAUUACUGGGCGUAAAGCGCGCGUAGGCUGCCUGUUAAGUCUUUUGUGAAAAUCCGGGGCUCAACCCCGGAAU
Molecule: ribosomal RNA, 641 nt
Filed under: uncultured bacterium
Lineage: Bacteria
Description: bacterial SSU rRNA
Rfam family: Bacterial small subunit ribosomal RNA
Source: RNAcentral